RNAcentral lists this unclassified non-coding RNA (374 nucleotides) under Hevea brasiliensis (rubber tree). Lineage: Eukaryota; Viridiplantae; Streptophyta; Magnoliopsida; Malpighiales; Euphorbiaceae. The record is from RNAcentral.
GAGUAAAUUACUUCCAAGUCCUACAACUCCUCCUCCUUUUGUGGAAGAUGGUCUAACAAGAGAUGGAGGAGAAGAUGCAGGGUUUGGAGGAAAUGUUGAAAUGGAAAAUGAGGAAGAAGUGCUAAAAACAAGGGGGGAGAUGAGGUUUGACACAGAUGAGAAGAGAAAUGAGGAUGAAGUGAAUGUUUUGAAGGGGGAACUUUAUGCUCAAAAAGGAUUUGAGAAGGAGGAGAAAGAAAUAUUGAAUAAUAAGGAUGAAGUUGUGGAGAAGAAUGGAUAUGAGGAAGAUGUCGAUGAGGAUGUAGACAAAGAGGAAGACUCAUUAAAAGAGAUUGAGAUACAAAAUGAAGGAAUAAGGGAAAAGGAGAAAGAGG